AAGAGACAGAGAGAUGACAACGCGACCCACGCCGCCGACACAGUAUUUCGGACGGUAGACUGUCCACCGCCACCUCCGUCGACGACCCACAAGCCUCCCAUGCUUUCUCCACCAACGUUUUCCCACCCUUCGCCGAUUCGAGAUGAGGAGAUUUUUGGUUGAUAGAGAAAGUAUUGAGAAUGUGAAUGUUGAGCAAUCGGAAGCCGAAUUACAAUCACUACCUAAUAAUGUGAUUGAUGAGUUUAAUCUAUAUGAGAUAGUGCGUGUUCUAGGUCUUAAGAAACAAAUUAAUGAUUAUGCUCCGGAUAUUCAAGACCAAGUGAGGAGGGCAUAUAUAAUGAAGGGUCCAAUGCAACCAGAUUUGACAAGCUUUCCUCGUACUCCAUUUGGAAGUGCUAAAAGAGCAUUUAGUAAAUCAUGGUAUAAAAAUUAUGCAUGGUUAGAAUACAGUGAGAUCAAAGAUGUAGCUUAUUGUUUUUAUUGCUUUCUCUUUAAGAGACCCAGGAGGGCCGAGCACUUUGGUUUUGAAGUCUUCACUAAAAGUGGAUAUAAAGAUUGGAAGCAUGCAUCUCAAGGCUUAAAAGAUCACGUUGGUAGUCAUAAUAGUUUGCACAACUCAUGUGUCAAGCACUACGAUGAUUAUAAUAAUUAAAGACAAAGUAUGGCUAGUAAGUUUGCUAGAGCAACCAAGGAGUCAGAAGAAUUAUAUAAGAUUCGUUUGACUUGUUCUAUAGACUGUUCAAGAUAUCUAAUUGCACAAGGCAUGGCUUUCCUUGGCCAUGAUGAAUCCUCUAUUUCUCUAAAUAAGGGAAAUUUUAGAGAGAUGGUAGAUUGGGUAAAAUCUAAGGAUGAACAAGUAAGCAAUGCUUUUGACCGUGGUGGAAAAAAUUGCACAAUGAUUUCCAGUGACAUUGAAAAGGAGCUUGCAAUGUGUUGUGCACAUGAAGUUACCAAGGUGAUUAUGGAAGAGCUUGGCGGUGAUGUUGAGGUUUGUUAACGACAAAGGGCAUAUUGUGGAACGAUUUAUUUCUCUACAUCAUGUCAAAGAUACUACAUCUAAGGCAUUAAAGGAUGCUUUUUAUGGUAUUCUUGAUAAAUACACGUUAUCUAUUUCAAGGAUACGGGGGCAAGGAUAUGAUAUAGCUUCAAAUAUGAGAGAUGAAUUUAAUGGUUUGCAAAGAAAGAUUCUAGAUGAAAACCCUUAGAGUGUGUUUGGAUGAGGUAAUUAGAAAUUUUAAAGUAAUUUAAAAUUUAAAGUAAUUCAAAUGAUUCAAUUCAAAUCCAUUCAUUUUUAAAUUAUUUUGUUUGGAUGUAGUAUUAAGAUAAUUCAUUGUUAGAUUUUUGGUGUCAUUUUUUAUAAAAUUAAAUUUUUUUGGACCAAAUUAAAAAAUGAAAAAGUAGGGACUAAUUUGCAAUUUUUAAAAAUUUGAAGGACCAAAUUGUAAAUUUUAAAAAUUAUUAAGGACCAAUUUGCAAUUUUUUGAAAAUUUUUGGGGUCAAUUUUAUAAUUUUGAAAAAUAUGAGGACCAAUUUGUAAAGUUUGAAGAAAUAAUAAUAACAAAUACAUUCUAUGGAACAUGAGAGGAAUUUCAAAUUCUUUGGUUUUUGGUGUCAUUUCAAAAUGAUUAAAUUUAACUUAGAUGAAAUACUCCAUAAAUUUCCAUCAUUUUAACAAUUCUUCAUUUUUGUAUCCAAACAAUGGAUUUUUGUCAAAUCAUUUUAAAUUCCCUCAAAAAAUUACUUUCCCUCAUUAAAAUGCUCCAUCCAAACACACUCUUAUUCUUUCCAUAUCCAUUGCUAUGGUCACCGUUUGUAAUUGGUUGUUGUGUCUGUUGCUAGUAGUUGCUCAUCUAUUCAUGAUUUCUUUGAGUACAUAUCCUUGAUUGUGAACGUAACGAGUUCAUCUUGUAAGAGGAGAGAUGCUUUGACGGAUGCAUAACACCAAGAUAUUUUAAAUCAACUUGAGAGGGGUAAAAUAUCUAGAGGAAGGUGAUUGCACCAAUCAUCUAGUCUCACUAGACCCGAGGAUACUAGACGAGGUUCACAUCAUAUUAGAUUUAUUCGUUUGGAUCAAAUGUGGUCAUCUGUGUUAAAGAUACUUAGUAUGGUCGAUGGAGAUGGAUGUGUAGCAUCUCAAACAACAGGUUUGAUAGAAAAAAAUGGAGAGUUUUAAAAUUUCUUUUAUUUUGAAGUUAAUGUUAAAGUUGUUUGGUAUCACAAACGAGCUUUCAAAUGUAUUACAAAGAAAAGAUCUUAAUAUUGUGAAUGCCAUGGAAUUAGUUGAUAUUGUCAAA
Long non-coding RNA from Vicia villosa (hairy vetch), 2294 nucleotides. RefSeq lists it as uncharacterized. Lineage: Eukaryota; Viridiplantae; Streptophyta; Magnoliopsida; Fabales; Fabaceae. The record is from RefSeq and is a predicted model, not a curated record. The transcript has 3 exons.